This 407-nucleotide long non-coding RNA is filed under the name Mytilus galloprovincialis (Mediterranean mussel). Lineage: Eukaryota; Metazoa; Mollusca; Bivalvia; Mytilida; Mytilidae. The record is from RNAcentral.
GUUGUGAAAGAUUUGAGAUGUGUUCACAGGUACGUGUCUCUGAAAGAAAAAUACCUAUAUACUUAAAUACAUAAGAGUAUAAAGUAAAAAAAAUUCAGAGACAAGUACCUGUUGUUGUUUUAAUAUAAAGAAAAUGGGGAAUGUGUCAAAGCGACAACAACCUGACCAUAGAGCAGACAACAGCCGAAGGCCACCAAUGGGUCUUCAAUGUAGUGAAAAAAACCCACACCUGUAGGCGUCCUUCAGCUGGCCCCUUAAAAAAUAUGUAUACUAGUACAGUGAUAAUGGACGUCAUACUAGAACACUUAGACUGACUCAACACCUUGAUAAGUAUUAUUUUCAUCCAAAGUCUUACGAUUUUUUUUGAGAAACUUAUUUUUCACCGGACAUAACAUAUUUAAGAGCAA